Molecule: non-coding RNA, 165 nt
Filed under: Triticum dicoccoides
Lineage: Eukaryota; Viridiplantae; Streptophyta; Magnoliopsida; Poales; Poaceae
Source: RNAcentral
UAAAAUAUGGCCUUUCCUUUACCUGUUUUGCUUCUCUUUUUUUUGCGUAAAAUAUGGCCUUUCAGGUAAAGGAAAAUGCUUAAUGUGGCAGGCACAGCGUGAGGCUGGCUUCACAGAGCAGCGACAACUGCCCGCUUCCAACGGUGAAAGGAUAACGGGCUGCUG